RNAcentral lists this ribosomal RNA (503 nucleotides) under uncultured Glomus. RNAcentral describes it as "SSU rRNA". It matches the Rfam family "Eukaryotic small subunit ribosomal RNA", at positions 569 to 1074 of the family's 1831-position model. Lineage: Eukaryota; Fungi; Glomeromycota; Glomeromycetes; Glomerales; Glomeraceae. The record is from RNAcentral.
AGCAGCCGCGGUAAUUCCAGCUCCAAUAGCGUAUAUUAAAGUUGUUGCAGUUAAAAAGCUCGUAGUUGAAUUUCGGGGUUAGUAGGUUGGCCAUGCCUCUGGUAUGUACUGGUCUCACUGAUUCCUCCUUCCUGAUGAGCCGUAAUGCCAUUAAUUUGGUGUUGCGGGGAAUUUGGACUGUUACUUUGAAAAAAUUAGAGUGUUUAAAGCAAGCUAACGCUUGAAUACAUUAGCAUGGAAUAAUGAAAUAGGACGUUCGAUCCUAUUUUGUUGGUUUCUAGGAUUGACGUAAUGAUUAAUAGGGAUAGUUGGGGGCAUUAGUAUUCAAUUGUCAGAGGUGAAAUUCUUGGAUUUAUUGAAGACUAACUACUGCGAAAGCAUUUGCCAAGGAUGUUUUCAUUAAUCAAGAACGAAAGUUAGGGGAUCGAAGACGAUCAGAUACCGUCGUAGUCUUAACCAUAAACUAUGCCGACUAGGGAUCGGAUGAUGUUAAUUUUUAAUGA